GGACUACUCGGGUUUCUAAUCCCUUUCGCUCCCCUAGCCUUCGAGCCUCAGCGUCAGCAAAUGUCCAGUAGCUCGCUUUCGCCACGAGUGUUCCUAUCGAUAUCUACGCAUUUCACUGCUACACCGAUAAUUCCAGCUACCCCUCCAUUGCUCAAGCACGGCAGUAUCGGAUGCAGUUCCGGGGUUGAGCCCCGGGAUUUCACAUCUGACUUACCGCGCCGCCUACGCUCCCUUUACGCCCAGUGAUUCCGAACAACGCUUGGGACCUUCGUAUUACCGCGGCGGCUGGCAC
Molecule: unclassified non-coding RNA, 292 nt
Filed under: uncultured fungus
Lineage: Eukaryota; Fungi
Description: sequence contains ITS1
Source: RNAcentral